Molecule: small RNA, 195 nt
Filed under: Actinosynnema mirum DSM 43827
Lineage: Bacteria; Bacillati; Actinomycetota; Actinomycetes; Pseudonocardiales; Pseudonocardiaceae
Description: Actinobacteria sRNA Ms_IGR-5
Rfam family: Actinobacteria sRNA Ms_IGR-5
Source: Rfam by way of RNAcentral
ACACGAGGAAGGAGGUGGUCCCAAGUUGUGUAGCUAUAGGACUCGUCGUGAGGUGGCUGUCCGCUAGGACCCGGCCUGAUCUCGGCUGAGCCUGGCGAAUACCAGGCAGCCACCCGCCCCCGACUGCUCCGAGCCAGUCCACUCGGCCCGCGCACCGAGCUCCGCGCGCGGGAAGCGGCACCGGGGUCGUCUCUU